Raphanus sativus (radish) is the source of this 362-nucleotide long non-coding RNA. RefSeq lists it as uncharacterized. The transcript is spliced from 2 exons. The record is from RefSeq and is a predicted model, not a curated record. Lineage: Eukaryota; Viridiplantae; Streptophyta; Magnoliopsida; Brassicales; Brassicaceae.
UCUCUCUUUCGCCAUUGCCAUGAAAGUCUAAGCUCUCUCUCUCCGUCUCUAUCUCCUCCUCUCUCUCUCCGCCUAUCUCUCUGUCUGCGUCUCUCUAUUCGGAUAUAUAAAAAAGAGAAGAGGUUUGUUAGUUUUUUGUGUCUAAGCUUGAGCUCUCUCUCUCCGUGUCUCUCUCUCUCUCCGCGUCUCUCUCUCUCGGCGUCUCUCUCUCAGGUUAUUGGUGUAGCAAUGAAAACGUAUUGCUUGGAGUGUGGGAGUUCUUGGAGUACUUAUUACAUAUAACAUUGUUUCCACCUACUGUGGAAGUUACUUGGAUUGCAAGCUAUCUUUUAAAUUUCAGUUUUAUAAAAUUUGAGUUUCUA